GAGUUUUGCUCGUUGCCCAGGCUGGAGUGCAAUGGCGUGAUCUCAGCUCACCACAACCUCCACCUCCGGGGUUCAAGCCAUUCUCCUGCCUCCAACUCCCGAGUAGCUGAGAUUACAGGCAUGUGCCACCACGCCCAGCUAAGGCUUUGUAUUUUUAGUAGAGACAGGGUUUCUCCAUGUUGGUCAGGCUGAUCUUAAACUCCCGACCUCAGGUGAUCCACCCGCGUUGGCCUCUCAAAGUGCUGGAAUUACAGGCGUGAGCCACCACGCCCAGCCCUCCUUUCUUUUUGAAUAGUCCUGGCACCGUUGCCAAAGAUGAGUUGACCAUAUAUGCAUAGGUUUAUUUCUGCAUCAGUUCCAAUCAUUUAUUUAUAUGUCUAUCCUUAUGCCAAUACCACAGUUUUGAUUAUUGUACCUUUUUAUUGUUUGAAAUGAGAAAGUAUGAGUCCUUGUAUUUUAUUCAAGAUUGUUUUGGCUAUUUGGGGGCCAUUUGCAAUUUAUUAUUAAUUUUAGGAUCAAUUUGUCAAUUUCAACAAAAACAUUAAAUUUGAAAGGGAUUACAUUGCAUCCGUAGACCAAUUUGUGGAGUACUGCCAUCUUAACAAUAUUAUACUUUCCAAUCCAUGAACGUGGAAUGUCUUACCAUUUAUUUAGAUCAUCUUUAAUUUUUUUUUCACCAAAGUUUUAGUUCUUUUGCUUGUUUUGAGACAGGGUCUCACUCUAUUGCCCAGGCUGGAGUGGAAUGGCAGGAACACAGCUCACUGCAGCCUUAGUCUCCUGGGCUCAAGUGAUCCUCCCACCACAGCCUCCCAAGUAGCUGGGACCACAGGCAGCUGCCACCGGGUCCAGCCUUGGCUUCCCAACGUGCUGGGAUUACAGCUGUGAGCCACCAAGCCCAGCUACAGCUCUCAAGAAGUACAGUCUUGUACUUCUUUUAUUAAAUUUAUGCCUACUUUAUACUUUAUGAUGCUAUGGUAAAUGGAAUUGUUUUCUUAAUUUGCUACUGAUUUUAAAAUCCACUACCUAUGUGAGUUGAACUGCGCUUACACACAUCACUGAAAUGUCCCACUCUCAGAAGUGGCCCAGCCUCCCCAGGCCCACCAGGCCUUCUUCUCCUUCCAGCCCUCUGUCCAGGCAAGAACUCGAUUGGAGGCCUUUCUGGGCACUCAGAGGGACACACCACCACACUAGGAGGGUUAGCUUAAAAAAUUCAACAAGCAUGGCCAGGCGCAGUGGCUUUUGCCUGAAUGCUACCACUUUGGGAGGCCGAGGCAGGAAGACUGCUUGAGCCCAGGGGUUCAAGACCAGCCUAGACCAUAUAGCAAGAGCCCGUCCCUCCGGAAAAUGUAAAAAAAAAAAAAAAAAUUCAACGAGCAUAUUUUCAUCCCCUACUUUUUUUUGAGAUGGAGCCUCGCUCUGUCGCCCAAGCUGGGGUGCAGUGGCACGAUCUCGGCUCACUGCAACCUCCGCCAGCCGGGUUCAAGCGAUUCUCCUGCCUCAGCCUCCCGAGUAGCUGGGACUACAGGCGCCCGCCACCACGCCCGGUUAAUUUUUUGUGUUUUCAGUAGAGACGGGGUUUCACCGUGUUAGCCAGGAUGGUCUCGAUCUCCUGACCUCGUGAUCCGCCCGCCUCGUCCUCCCAAAGUGUUGGAAUUACAGGCGUCAGCCACCGCGCCCGGCGGUGCAGGAAUUUUAAAACUCGCCAAAAUACGCCCUCCUUCAGAAAAUCCCUGCCACCUCGAUAGGACGUCCUCUUCUUGAGCUCCCCUCUCCGGCCCUCCCUGAUACCGCAAGGUUGAGCAUUCGGGCACUGGCUUCCCGAACUCACUUCGACUCAGGCACAGCAGGCAAAGAUUCAAUGGGUAGGGCCGGACCGACUGCCCGACCUUCGCGGUGCUUCACUUGCCUCACUGCGCAUGUGCCAAAGACAAUCACCCAAAGUACUCGAAACACAGCGGGAGGGCCGGCCCUUGCGCAGGCGUACUAGCGGCCGUAGGGAGCGCUUCCUCCUCCCCGCCGCCGCCGCCCUCGCAAUGGCCGCGCCGGCCCCGGGCCUCAUCUCGGUGUUCUCGAGUCCCCAGGAGCUGGGUGCGGCGCUAGCGCAGCUGGUGGCCCAGCGCGCAGCAUGCUGCCUGGCAGGGGCCCGCGCCCGUUUCGCGCUCGGCCUGUCGGGCGGGAGCCUCGUCUCGAUGCUAGCCCGCGAGCUACCCGCCGCCGUCGCCCCUGCCGGGCCAGCCAGCUUAGCGCGCUGGACGCUGGGCUUCUGCGAUGAGCGCCUCGUGCCCUUCGAUCACGCCGAGAGCACGUACGGCCUCUACCGGGUGAGAGCUACGGGGGCCGCCAGGGAUCACGCCGAGAGGGCCACAGCCACCGCGUACACCCCGGCUACGGAGGCCGCCGGGGGCCAUGCCGAAAGGGCCGCGCCCACUAUCUGCACCUCGGCUACGGGGGCCACUGGGUAUCAUGCCAAGCGGGCCGUGCCCACUGCCUGCACCUCGGCUACGUGGGUCGCUGGGGGUCAUGCCAAGAGGGCCGCGCCCACCGGUUGCCCUCGGCUACGGGGGCCACUGGGGGUCAUGCCAAGAUGGUCACGCCCACUGCCUGCACCUCGACUACGGGGGCCGCUGGGGGUCUAGCCGACAGGGCUCGCCCGCCGCCUGAACCCCGCCUACGGUGGGUCCCGCAGGACCUCACUGCGCCCUCUGCCUUUAUCUGGGCAGGGCUAGAAAUGGUCUACUUGCAGUCCGUCUUCAUGCUUCAUCCGGUGGCCAGGCAGAGGGAACGGCACGGGCAAGGACCUGGAAGGGAAUCCGAGUGGCCCAUGUCAAACGAUGCCCAUAACUCAGCCCCGUAGCGGACGGGGGCACGAGGAAUCAGGUGUAGAGCCUGAGUCUCAGGGUCCUGCUCUCUAACCCCAGCGAGUUCUCGGGGAUCCCUGGGCAGCUUUGCCGCUCUGAUGGCUCUGCUUCCAGGCUGUUCAUCUUUGGCUUUGAGCCUCAGGAUUCUAUAGAAUCAGAGGAGCGCGCUCUUUUAAAGACAGGGUAACUGAGGCUUGGAGGAGCCUUGGCCUGGCCGAGGGAAGAGUGGGAGGGGCGGGCUCAAAGGCCAGGAACCUCAAGUCACCUGAGCCUGGCAGCGUCAAGGGACACCCCAUGCUGGGUGUGCCGUCUUCUCUUUGCAUAGAAUCUUGAGCUGAUGAUGGUUUUGUGGGUUUUUUAUUAAGAGAAAAGGCUUACUGAACGCUUUAUAUGCAUCAAUUCAUGAGUCCGUACCACAGCCUAUGAGAUGUUACACUCAUUUCACAGAUGGAGAAACUGAGGCCAGAAGAGGCGAGCUUACCUGCCCAAGGCAUCUAGUGACCAGAGGGGCAGCCAGGGUGUGAUCCUGCCUCAUCUGACUUCGUAGUUGGACGCAUCUUCUCUCCAGACUGCCGAUCCCAGAAAGCCAGGUGAUCACCAUUAACCCCGAGCUGCCUGUGGAGGAGGCGGCUGAGGACUACGCCAAGAAGCUGAGACAGGCAUUCCAAGGGGACUCCAUCCCAGUUUUCGACCUGCUGAUCCUGGGGGUGGGCCCCGAUGGUCACACCUGCUCACUCUUCCCAGACCACCCCCUCCUACAGGAGCGGGAGAAGAUUGUGGCUCCCAUCAGUGACUCCCCGAAGCCACCACCACAGCGUGUGACCCUCACACUACCUGUCCUGAAUGCAGCACGAACUGUCAUCUUUGUGGCAACUGGAGAAGGCAAGGCAGCUGUUCUGAAGCGCAUUUUGGAGGACCAGGAGGAAAACCCUCUGCCCGCCGCCCUGGUCCAGCCCCACACCGGGAAACUGUGCUGGUUCUUGGACGAGGCGGCCGCCCGCCUCCUGACCGUGCCCUUCGAGAAGCAUUCCACUUUGUAGCUGGCCAGAGGGACGCCGCAGCUGGGACCAGGCACGUGGCCCAUGGGGCUGGGCCCCUGCUGGCCGCUACUCUCCGGGCUCUCCUUUCAAAAAGCCACGUCGUGCUGCUGCUAGAAGCCAACAGCCUCCGGCCAGCAGCCCUGCCCGGGGCUCAACACACAGGCUGUGGCUCUGGACAUCCGGAUAUUAAAAGGAGCGUUGCUGGAA
Pan troglodytes (chimpanzee) is the source of this 4105-nucleotide RNA transcript. It is a transcript of the gene named 6-phosphogluconolactonase, with no coding region annotated. Lineage: Eukaryota; Metazoa; Chordata; Mammalia; Primates; Hominidae. The transcript is spliced from 5 exons. The record is from RefSeq and is a predicted model, not a curated record.